RNAcentral lists this ribosomal RNA (437 nucleotides) under uncultured Oscillospiraceae bacterium. Its description in RNAcentral is "partial 16S ribosomal RNA". It matches the Rfam family "Bacterial small subunit ribosomal RNA", at positions 341 to 792 of the family's 1533-position model. Lineage: Bacteria; Bacillati; Bacillota; Clostridia; Eubacteriales; Oscillospiraceae. The record is from RNAcentral.
ACGGAAGGCAGCAGUGGGGAAUAUUGGGCAAUGGGCGAAAGCCUGACCCAGCAACGCCGCGUGAAGGAAGAAGGUUUUCGGAUUGUAAACUUCUUUUAUCAGGGACGAAGGAAGUGACGGUACCUGAUGAAUAAGCCACGGCUAACUACGUGCCAGCAGCCGCGGUAAUACGUAGGUGGCAAGCGUUAUCCGGAUUUACUGGGUGUAAAGGGCGCGUAGGCGGGGAUGCAAGUCAGAUGUGAAAUCCAUGUGCUUAACCCAUGAACUGCAUUUGAAACUGUAUUUCUUGAGUGUCGGAGAGGUAGACGGAAUUCCUAGUGUAGCGGUGAAAUGCGUAGAUAUUAGGAGGACCACCAGUGGCGAAGGCGGUCUACUGGACGAUAACUGACGCUGAGGCGCGAAAGCGUGGGGAGCAAACAGGAUUAGAUACCCUGGUA